This is a small nuclear RNA of Microtus ochrogaster (prairie vole), 104 nucleotides long. NCBI's taxonomy places the organism in Eukaryota, Metazoa, Chordata, Mammalia, Rodentia, Cricetidae. The record is from Ensembl.
GUGCUCAUUUCGGCAGCACAUAUACUAAAACUGGAACAACACAGAGAUUAGCAUGGCCCCUGCACAAGGAUCCCAUGCAAAUUUGUGAAGCGGUCCAUAUUUUU